GACGAACGCUGGCGGCGUGCCUAAUACAUGCAAGUCGAACGCUGAAGGAGGAGCUUGCUUCUCUGGAUGAGUUGCGAACGGGUGAGUAACGCGUAGGUAACCUGCCUGGUAGCGGGGGAUAACUAUUGGAAACGAUAGCUAAUACCGCAUAAUAGUAGAUGUUGCAUGACAUUUACUUAAAAGGUGCAAUUGCAUCACUACCAGAUGGACCUGCGUUGUAUUAGCUAGUUGGUGGGGUAACGGCUCACCAAGGCGACGAUACAUAGCCGACCUGAGAGGGGGAUCGGCCACACUGGGACUGAGACACGGCCCAGACUCCUACGGGAGGCAGCAGGAGGGAAUCUUCGGCAAUGGACGAAAGUCUGACCGAGCAACGCCGCGUGAGUGAAGAAGGUUGUCGGAUCGUAAAGCUCUGUUGUAAGAGAAGAACGAGUGUGAGAGUGGAAAGUUCACACUGUGACGGUAUCUGACCAGAAAGGGACGGCUAACUACGUG
RNAcentral lists this ribosomal RNA (495 nucleotides) under uncultured bacterium. RNAcentral describes it as "partial 16S ribosomal RNA". It matches the Rfam family "Bacterial small subunit ribosomal RNA", at positions 28 to 507 of the family's 1533-position model. The record is from RNAcentral.